CAACAAAUCCACACACGUUACAGGAACUCAAGGACAAUAUCCAUGAGUCAGUUCAUUCACUUUCUCAAAGAGAAGUACAUUGUGUGACAAAUAAUUUCUUCAGUAGAUGUGAGGAAUGCGUGGAAAAAAAUGGCAGGUAGUUCCAGCAUCUCAGUGCAUGACGUAGGUAGAAGAUAGGAAUGAAGUGCCAACCUAUUCUAAGCUGGAAGUGCAGUCUGUAGCAAAUUAUGUGGAGAGUUUGCAUAGCAAUAGUAGUAAUACAAGGUGUCCAACAAAGGACUUCCUAACAUUAGAAUUAAAUAACAUGAAAAUAAUAGAAUAGACAUUAUGUUUACUGUGAAAGCAGUAAGAACUGUAUACAGAAGCUUUGAAAUAAUAGUUACAAAACAUGGAACUGUCAUAGAAAAACAAUGUACUUAUAAAUAAUACUCCAAAGUUCAGAGCAAUCAGUUCCACAAAUCAGUUCAUCAAAUUCAAAUGGACAGGCAGCAUGUAAAUGUUGGGCCGGUGGCAGCUGUAGUUACUCUUGAAGAUGUCAGCACACUUUCUGAAAGUAUUCAGCGGAAUAUGAGGAAAUUUGUCCAAAGAAUUUCUAUAGAGGCUGGUUUGAAGUGUUCAAGCAUGCAUAUACUACUGAGAAAAGGUCCACACAUGUUCCUAUUGAAAAUCCACAGCCACCCGGUCAUAUCCAUAACCACUGUGAAAUAAAGGGCUUACUGCAGACCGAAUUCUCACAAUAACUGAAGGAUUUGGUGCUGGCUGCAUCUGGUUUUCUGGUUAAGGAUACAUCCAUCUCAAUGUGUUGGAGAAUAAGAAAACUGUCAGUUUUGGGGUACCGAAAAGCCCCGUUUGUAUGAAGAAAAACCAUUGCAUUCUCCUAAAGCUAUUGUUUAGGCUUGUGAUAUGCAGCAGGCAUACAAUCAGCCCUUACGUCAUGCAAGAAUCAGUAGCUAGUAAACAUUACUUUAUAAUUUUUGAAAAGUUUGUCAUCAAACAAUAAGCUUUAGAGCCUCAAAUGUGCACUGAGUGAUUCAUGCAAAAUGGGGCCUGAUCACAUCCCACCAAACAGGUGUUCCACUUCGAGAAUAGGGUUGUUGUGUGCAUUAUCCCAUUUUUAUGGACACAGGCAUGGAAAGCCUCCAUAUUCACUCAGUCUGACUUUUGGGACUACUUUUCUGGGGCACGUUGAAAUACAUCAUCAACUGGGACCAUCCCACCACACUGGAUGAAUGUGAACUGUUGAUCUGCAUUGCAACUGAAUCCAUUUCCGUACACAUUAAGAUGUGAUAAAAAUGAUGAGCAGUGAGCAUUUUGAAAAGAUUAUGAUGUGAUUGCAAAGGCUGUUUGCAAAAGAUAAAAUUUAUGUAUGCAUGCUGAUAAAAGCGUAAAUUGUACAGUGCCAUUAGCAGUUUUUCUAAGUAUUAUACUAAACUUCUGUACAAAAUUCUUUGUGUUCAAAAUUAAUCUACCAUUCAUUCAAUUCUUUUCUUUUCUGUGUUAGUUAAUUAUAAACCAGGGAGUCCUUGGUUGGCUACCCUUUAUAUUUAUAGUUAAUGAAAACCCAGCAACUACACACACAAUUCUUCAGUCAGCAGAUCUUCAAACUUCCACUCCUAGGUACUCCACAAUGAAGAAAAGGGAGCAGAAUGAUGAAUAUGGUUCUGCAAUUGAGUCAAUCACUAAUAC
Schistocerca nitens (vagrant locust) is the source of this 1686-nucleotide long non-coding RNA. RefSeq lists it as uncharacterized. The transcript is spliced from 3 exons. The record is from RefSeq and is a predicted model, not a curated record. NCBI's taxonomy places the organism in Eukaryota, Metazoa, Arthropoda, Insecta, Orthoptera, Acrididae.